This 728-nucleotide ribosomal RNA is filed under the name Pseudomonas taiwanensis. RNAcentral describes it as "bacterial SSU rRNA". It matches the Rfam family "Bacterial small subunit ribosomal RNA", at positions 62 to 785 of the family's 1533-position model. Lineage: Bacteria; Pseudomonadati; Pseudomonadota; Gammaproteobacteria; Pseudomonadales; Pseudomonadaceae. The record is from RNAcentral.
UCGAGCGGAUGACGGGAGCUUGCUCCUUGAUUCAGCGGCGGACGGGUGAGUAAUGCCUAGGAAUCUGCCUGGUAGUGGGGGACAACGUUUCGAAAGGAACGCUAAUACCGCAUACGUCCUACGGGAGAAAGCAGGGGACCUUCGGGCCUUGCGCUAUCAGAUGAGCCUAGGUCGGAUUAGCUUGUUGGUGAGGUAAUGGCUCACCAAGGCGACGAUCCGUAACUGGUCUGAGAGGAUGAUCAGUCACACUGGAACUGAGACACGGUCCAGACUCCUACGGGAGGCAGCAGUGGGGAAUAUUGGACAAUGGGCGAAAGCCUGAUCCAGCCAUGCCGCGUGUGUGAAGAAGGUCUUCGGAUUGUAAAGCACUUUAAGUUGGGAGGAAGGGCAGUAAGUUAAUACCUUGCUGUUUUGACGUUACCGACAGAAUAAGCACCGGCUAACUCUGUGCCAGCAGCCGCGGUAAUACAGAGGGUGCAAGCGUUAAUCGGAAUUACUGGGCGUAAAGCGCGCGUAGGUGGUUUGUUAAGUUGGAUGUGAAAGCCCCGGGCUCAACCUGGGAACUGCAUCCAAAACUGGCAAGCUAGAGUACGGUAGAGGGUGGUGGAAUUUCCUGUGUAGCGGUGAAAUGCGUAGAUAUAGGAAGGAACACCAGUGGCGAAGGCGACCACCUGGACUGAUACUGACACUGAGGUGCGAAAGCGUGGGGAGCAAACAGGAUUAGAUAC